RNAcentral lists this ribosomal RNA (253 nucleotides) under uncultured bacterium. RNAcentral's name for it is "partial 16S ribosomal RNA". It matches the Rfam family "Bacterial small subunit ribosomal RNA", at positions 524 to 776 of the family's 1533-position model. The record is from RNAcentral.
UACGUAGGGGGCAAGCGUUGUCCGGAAUUAUUGGGCGUAAAGAGCGCGUAGGCGGUCCGAUAAGUCGGCUGUGAAAGUCAGGGGCUCAACCCUUGAAAGCCGGCCGAUACUGUCGGACUAGAGUCCGGAAGAGGCAAGUGGAAUUCCCGGUGUAGCGGUGAAAUGCGCAGAUAUCGGGAGGAACGCCAACGGUGAAAACAGCUCGCUGGGGGUGUGCUGACGCUGAGACACGAAAGCCAGGGGAGCGAACGGG